UUUGCCUACGGGGCGCAGCAGUAGGGAAUCUUCCACAAUGGGCGAAAGCCUGAUGGAGCAACGCCGCGUGGGUGAAGAAGGUCUUCGGAUUGUAAAAUUCUGUCCUAUGGGAAGAAACAAAUGACGGUACCAUAGGAGGAAGCCCCGGCUAACUACGUGCCAGCAGCCGCGGUAAUACGUAGGGGGCGAGCGUUGUCCGGAAUUACUGGGCGUAAAGAGAGCGUAGGCGGCACUACAAGUCUCAUGUGAAAUACCCGGGCUUAACUUGGGGGUUGCAUGGGAAACUGUAUAGCUUGAGUACAGGG
This 305-nucleotide ribosomal RNA is filed under the name uncultured bacterium. RNAcentral's name for it is "bacterial SSU rRNA". It matches the Rfam family "Bacterial small subunit ribosomal RNA", at positions 334 to 653 of the family's 1533-position model. The record is from RNAcentral.